Molecule: ribosomal RNA, 483 nt
Filed under: uncultured bacterium
Lineage: Bacteria
Description: partial 16S ribosomal RNA
Rfam family: Bacterial small subunit ribosomal RNA
Source: RNAcentral
AUUGAACGCUGGCGGCAGGCCUAACACAUGCAAGUCGAGCGGAUGAAGGGAGCUUGCUCCUGGAUUCAGCGGCGGACGGGUGAGUAAUGCCUAGGAAUCUGCCUGGUAGUGGGGGAUAACGUCCGGAAACGGGCGCUAUACCGCAUACGUCCUGAGGGAGAAAGUGGGGGAUCUUCGGACCUCACGCUAUCAGAUGAGCCUAGGUCGGAUUAGCUAGUUGGUGGGGUAAAGGCCUACCAAGGCGACGAUCCGUAACUGGUCUGAGAGGAUGAUCAGUCACACUGGAACUGAGACACGGUCCAGACUCCUACGGGAGGCAGCAGUGGGGAAUAUUGGACAAUGGGCGAAAGCCUGAUCCAGCCAUGCCGCAUGUGUGAAGAAGGUCUUCGGAUUGUAAAGCACUUUAAGUUGGGAGGAAGGGCAGUAAGUUAAUACCUUGCUGUUUUGACGUUACCAACAGAAUAAGCACCGGCUAACUUCGUG